This 981-nucleotide long non-coding RNA is filed under the name Arabidopsis lyrata. Its description in RNAcentral is "long non-coding RNA (ALYR_LNC001266)". Lineage: Eukaryota; Viridiplantae; Streptophyta; Magnoliopsida; Brassicales; Brassicaceae. The record is from RNAcentral.
GACAAGGUCUCUUUGUACCUUUUGUGGUCUCAGGAGCAGCCACUGCCAAUGUCAUCAGCAAGCUUCAACCGCCCCAUAUGCAAACGGUGACGACGGAGAAAGAGCGUUCAAGCUAACACCAGCCUCCUUCUGCGUUUUUUACCUCCUAUUCGCUCUCGCAAUGAUUGGUGUCUACCUCUUCUUAUAUUUGAUUGCUAUCAUUCCCGUCAUCCAUCGAACUUGUUACCUGGAGGUCUUUGCUGACUCCUUCUCCGACUCAAACGCCUCAAACGCAAACGCAACCGCAGAUUGGAACUUCGGGUUUACAACAAGGAAUCCAGGUAACGGAUGUAAAGUCUCUCUCCACACAGUCAAAUCGCGUCUCCUCCGCGGAGAUAAGCUUCUAUCCGAGUCAUCCAUUCCUGAUUUUACUCGUAACCGGGAAAAUCAAUGAUGUACCGGUUCCUUAUGCGGUUUUCAAAACGGUUGCAACGCCCCGCAACGAAUUGGUUUGGGAUCUCCGGCUCGAAGUCGUAACUAGCGUUAAGAUAAAAGGUCGAGCCGGUCAUGGAGAUGGUUUCUUGAUCGUGACUUGCCGUGAUAUACCGGUAAAUUUUACGGCAGAUCCGGCUGGAAAUGUGAAUGGAUCGUUGAUCGGAUAUAUGAGGCCUUGUGAGUAUUUAGUCCAGAAAGAGUAUACGGACACAUCCUUUUAGACUUUCUCUCUGAUCAUGAAUCUAUCUCUUUACGAGUUUUGUCUUAAUUAGGGCUACACAUCUUUUUCUUUUUAAUUUUUGUGUUUAACUUUUUUUUUUGUUCAACAUUUUUGUGUUUUAACCCAUGUUCAAGAAAACGCUAGGCGUUAAGCGGGCGGUGACGCAACGCUUAGCGUCGACAAGAUUCAAUGUCACUCUUCUUUCACAGAAUUGGAAUAAGUAGAUUAAGACCUUUUAGAGAUUAAUGUUUCAAUUAGGCUUUCUACUUCAUCAUCUUUUAUUUUUU